AGAGCGAACGCUGGCGGCAGGCCUAACACAUGCAAGUCGAGCGGAAAGGCCCUUCGGGGUACUCGAGCGGCGAACGGGUGAGUAACACGUGAGUAAUCUGCCCCUAGCUCUGGGAUAGCUCCGGGAAACCGGGAUUAAUACCGGAUACGACCACUUUAGACAUCUGUUGUGGUGGAAAGAAUUUUGGCUAGGGAUGAGCUCGCGGCCUAUCAGCUUGUUGGUGGGGUAACGGCCUACCAAGGCGACGACGGGUA
RNAcentral lists this ribosomal RNA (254 nucleotides) under uncultured bacterium. Its description in RNAcentral is "partial small subunit ribosomal RNA". It matches the Rfam family "Bacterial small subunit ribosomal RNA", at positions 26 to 285 of the family's 1533-position model. The record is from RNAcentral.